GCCCGAAGAAAUUCGGAUUAAUGCUCCAUGGUUUAUCGAUAUGGCAUCGUAUUGAUAAUAAAGAUUUAUCGGUAUAAGAUGGGCAUGCGUAUCAUUAGCUAGUUGGUGUGGUAACGGCAUACCAAGGCAACGAUGAUUAGGGGUCCUGAGAGGGAGAUCCCCCACACUGGUACUGAGACACGGACCAGACUCCUACGGGAGGCAGCAGUGAGGAAUAUUGGUCAAUGGAGGCAACUCUGAACCAGCCAUGCCGCGUGCAGGAUGACGGUCCUAUGGAUUGUAAACUGCUUUUGUACAGGAAGAAACCUCCCUACGAGUAGGGACUUGACGGUACUGUAAGAAUAAGGAUCGGCUAACUCCGUGCCAGCAGCCGCGGUAAUACGGAGGAUCCGAGCGUUAUCCGGAAUUAUUGGGUUUAAAGGGUUCGUAGGCGGCUUUGUAAGUCAGUGGUGAAAUUUCCUAGCUUAACUAGGACACUGCCAUUGAUACUGCAGAGCUUGAAUAAUAUGGAAGUAACUAGAAUAUGUAGUGUAGCGGUGAAAUGCUUAGAUAUUACAUGGAAUACCAAUUGCGAAGGCAGGUUACUACGUAUUUAUUGACGCUGAUGAACGAAAGCGUGGGGAGCGAACAGGAUUAGAUACCCUGGUAGUCCACGCCGUAAACGAUGGAUACUAGCUGUUCGGUUUUCGGACUGAGUGGCUAAGCGAAAGUGAUAAGUAUCCCACCUGGGGAGUACGUUCGCAAGAAUGAAACUCAAAGGAAUUGACGGGGGCCCGCACAAGCGGUGGAGCAUGUGGUUUAAUUCGAUGAUACGCGAGGAACCUUACCAGGGCUUAAAUGUAGAUUGACAGAUUUGGAAACAGAUUUUUCUUCGGACAAUUUACAAGGUGCUGCAUGGUUGUCGUCAGCUCGUGCCGUGAGGUGUCAGGUUAAGUCCUAUAACGAGCGCAACCCCUAUUGUUAGUUACCAGCGCGUAGUGGCGGGGACUCUAGCAAGACUGCCGGUGCAAACCGUGAGGAAGGUGGGGAUGACGUCAAAUCAUCACGGCCCUUACGUCCUGGGCUACACACGUGCUACAAUGGCAAGUACAGAAAGCAGCUACCUGGCAACAGGAUGCGAAUCUCCAAAGCUUGUCUCAGUUCGGAUUGGAGUCUGCAACUCGACUCUAUGAAGCUGGAAUCGCUAGUAAUCGGAUAUCAGCCAUGAUCCGGUGAAUACGUUCCCGGGCCUUGUACACACCGCCCGUCAAGCCAUGGAAGCUGGGGGUACCUGAAGUCGGUGACCGCA
Molecule: ribosomal RNA, 1288 nt
Filed under: uncultured Myroides sp.
Lineage: Bacteria; Pseudomonadati; Bacteroidota; Flavobacteriia; Flavobacteriales; Flavobacteriaceae
Description: bacterial SSU rRNA
Rfam family: Bacterial small subunit ribosomal RNA
Source: RNAcentral